AUUAAACUGAAGAGUUUGAUCCUGGCUCAGAUUGAACGCUGGCGGCAUGCCUUACACAUGCAAGUCGAACGGCAGCACGGGAGCAAUCCUGGUGGCGAGUGGCGAACGGGUGAGUAAUACAUCGGAACGUGCCCUGUCGUGGGGGAUAACUAGUCGAAAGAUUA
Molecule: ribosomal RNA, 164 nt
Filed under: Cupriavidus sp. UME77
Lineage: Bacteria; Pseudomonadati; Pseudomonadota; Betaproteobacteria; Burkholderiales; Burkholderiaceae
Description: partial 16S ribosomal RNA
Rfam family: Bacterial small subunit ribosomal RNA
Source: RNAcentral